UAGGGAAUCUUCCACAAUGGACGCAAGUCUGAUGGAGCAACGCCGCGUGAGUGAAGAAGGUUUUCGGAUCGUAAAGCUCUGUUGUUGGUGAAGAAGGAUAGAGGCAGUAACUGGUCUUUAUUUGACGGUAAUCAACCAGAAAGUCACGGCUAACUACGUGGCAGCAGCCGCGGUAAUACGUAGGUGGCAAGCGUUGUCCGGAUUUAUUGGGCGUAAAGCGAGCGCAGGCGGAAUGAUAAGUCUGAUGUGAAAGCCCACGGCUCAACCGUGGAACUGCAUCGGAAACUGUCAUUCUUGAGUGCAGAAGAGGAGAGUGGAAUUCCAUGUGUAGCGGUGGAAUGCGUAGAUAUAUGGAAGAACACCAGUGGCGAAGGCGGCUCUCUGGUCUGCAACUGACGCUGAGGCUCGAAAGCAUGGGUAGCGAACAGG
This 429-nucleotide ribosomal RNA is filed under the name bacterium. RNAcentral's name for it is "partial 16S ribosomal RNA". It matches the Rfam family "Bacterial small subunit ribosomal RNA", at positions 355 to 776 of the family's 1533-position model. The record is from RNAcentral.